RNAcentral lists this ribosomal RNA (492 nucleotides) under uncultured bacterium. Its description in RNAcentral is "partial 16S ribosomal RNA". It matches the Rfam family "Bacterial small subunit ribosomal RNA", at positions 29 to 507 of the family's 1533-position model. The record is from RNAcentral.
AGUGAACGCUGGCGGUAGGCCUAACACAUGCAAGUCGAACGGCAGCACAGUAAGAGCUUGCUCUUACGGGUGGCGAGUGGCGGGCGGGUGAGGAAUACAUCGGAAUCUACUUUUUCGUGGGGGAUAACGUAGGGAAACUUACGCUAAUACCGCAUACGACCUACGGGUGAAAGCAGGGGAUCUUCGGACCUUGCGCGAUUGAAUGAGCCGAUGUCGGAUUAGCUAGUUGGCGGGGUAAAGGCCCACCAAGGCGACGAUCCGUAGCUGGUCUGAGAGGAUGAUCAGCCACACUGGAACUGAGACACGGUCCAGACUCCUACGGGAGGCAGCAGUGGGGAAUAUUGGACAAUGGGCGCAAGCCUGAUCCAGCCAUACCGCGUGGGUGAAGAAGGCCUUCGGGUUGUAAAGCCCUUUUGUUGGGAAAGAAAAGCAGCAGGUUAAUACCCCGCUGUUCCGACGGUACCCAAAGAAUAAGCACCGGCUAACUUCGUG